CCCUUAGCCAAGCUGUUGAUGCGCUUAACCCCAGAUUAAAUACCUUCUCACUAAAGCAGAAUUAUUUGUUCUCAAAUGCUGUGCCCAUGUCUGUGAAACAUUAAUUUUGUUCCUGCAGAAAAUGCUUUGAGCUCACAUGUAACUGAUGUGAUUGUCUGAAGGUGAAGAGACUGUCAAUGGUUUAGGACAGAUGCAGAAAUGAUAAACAGGGAUUAUCCCAAAGGUGGUGGGAGAUGUGUACAACCCAUUUUUAGCACUAAAGUGGCAACUAAUAUGAAAAGUGGGUAAGACUCUUAGGAAUUCUGUGGAACAAGCUUUCUUCUACAUCAGCUCUUAACUUUGGUUCCUGGCACGCUAUCCACCUGCUGAGGCUCAGGCCACUGAAGUGCUGCACACAAAGCAGAUGUCCUGGGGAGCAAGUUUACAGCCUGCAAGUGACUGGAAACUCUUCUGAGAUCUUAUUUCAGUUUGGAAUAAAAUCAAGACGUCGUUACUCUUGAUUUGUCUGAAGUUUCAAGUUCUUACUGCAUGAGUUCAGAUGGAAUCCAGACUUGCUCCCCACCUGGUACGUCGGCAGUUCCACUGAGCAGUACUGAGAGCAGCCCUUUGUUAUUCCUCUGCCUUCUGCAUCUGCUUUCUCUUUGGGCCUGUCACAGACACAAGUGUGGAAUGCAGGGGGCAGGGGGUUGUCUUUUUAGCAGUCUAGUGGCAAACAGGAGGUUAAAGGCUUUUUUGUGCAUUUUUGUGCUUCUCAGAAGUGAAAUGGAGAACCUAAAUUCCUGUCUGAUGCACUUGAUGUGCAGAAAUGUCACAGUCCUUGGUCCUGUGCGUCCCUUUAAGGUGCUAAUCAUCAGCAAUUAUCUUUUUUUAAUAUAUAUAUUUUUUUUGUAAAGACGUCUGUUACACUUUUAGGUUACUAAAUAUUACCUGCAUCACCUGAGGCUUGUCUUUCAUGAAAAUACAGUUUGGUUUGUCAAAUUCAAGCUACAGUUUAUUCCAUGUUUCUUGCAAGUGAUUUGUCUAGGCAUGUAUUGCUCUGAUCUAGUGCAGUGCUGUGUUUUAUGAUACCUCAUGCUAAUAUAUUACAUUGCAGUCACAGUUAGUAUUUAAAGCAAAAAUUGUUUUUGUUGUUACUGUUCUAAAAUUUGUGGGUUUGUUUCCAAAAUGCAGUCAUUUGAACCUUUAUUGAGGUGUCUCGGGAAACUGUAUUGCAGGUUAUUUCAUGUACGUGGUCAGGAAACUCAGUAAUUCACUGUAUCUAUUCAUGUGAAUCUGCUGACAGAGUUUGGGGGUGAUUGACAGAAGAAAAUAGAUGACAUUUUGGUUUUUUGUUUCUAAUUUUAUGAAAAUCCCAAGUUUCUAUGAAAAUAUUUUUCUGAGAUAAAUGGCUGGUAAUGACAGGAAGAAGGAAAAAACUCCAAUCAAGAUCCAGUGUGAUUCAGGAGAUCUGUUACUAUUCUAGAUCCCUUGGAGAAAUGGAAUCAUUAAAUAUGUUUUAACUCAAACUCGGAAUUAUAAUCCUUUUCCCCAUACUUUUAUGACAUCUCUUAAGAAGCAGUAGUUUAAAUCCAGUUUAAUAAUUGUGACAUUAAUUUAAUCAGUAAGGAGAGACCUCACAAAAUUUACCCAUGGAAUUGCAACUGAAGCUUUGAGAGAUGUUUGCAUUGUGAACCAACACAAGUUGCAAAUUGUGACUAAGGUAUUUUGGUAUUUCAUUUAAAGCAGCUACCUCAGAGAUCAAUAUCAGCACGGCUCCAAGAAUCGUGGAGUUUGUCAGGUAGGUUUUGUGGGCUAUACUGAGUCUCAUUGUCUGGUGCUCUGCAAUCCACUUAUUAGCUGGUUUAAUUGGCUAAAGCAGCACCCAGCACAUCUGCUAGAGCUCUGAGGUGGAUUUUAAAGCAAAAUGUAGCCAUAGCUGGAGCUAGGUCAUGUCAUCACCCCUUCAGGAUCACAGCACUUUCUUCUCCUUCCUGUAUUUCAAGGUUACAUUAAUUACACAAACUGAUUGAAUAAAACUUUCAUGGGUUAAUUUUUGGAGAUUUGU
This is a long non-coding RNA of Parus major (Great Tit), 2044 nucleotides long. The record is from Ensembl. NCBI's taxonomy places the organism in Eukaryota, Metazoa, Chordata, Aves, Passeriformes, Paridae.